AAAUUUAAUGUGUUUGUCUUCAUAAUUACUGAAAUGUUGUUGAAAUUACUAUGCCAGCAAUGGAUAAAAUUUACUACCAUGUGCAGUCAAGUGCACUAUUGUCAUGUAUUGGAGAUAAACACAAGAUCCUUAAUUUUUAAUGAGCAAUGUUAUCAUUUUUACCAUGUGCAUGGUAAUUUACACAACAAAAGCGUAGUAAUAAUGCCCCCAUCAACAUGGCUGUUUUUCUCCGUCAGCUUGUGAAAAGUUAACACAAGUGUGGACAGAAAAAGUAUUAUUUUCAGUGCUUUAGGCGUAAUAUUGAACAAAGUUUUGUUUAUUUUUCAUAAUAUUGUACCCAUGUUGCUGUUGAUCUCGAGUUGAUGAUACCAUUCAAUUUCCAGGCCCAAUUAAGUUAUCCAAAUUAUAAUUAAGAUUAAUUUUUACUAUGUUUCUUGAUAACUCGAGCGAUGUGGAGCAUAAGUUGAAUUAGCCGCUAUAAUCGUGGAUCAGAGAUCGGUGAAAGCAAAUACGGACAUUAAAUUCAUUACAGGACUCCACUACAAGCGCCGUCUUCAUAUCUAAGAUUCGCUUUUUAUGGAUUAAAGAACAAUAAAUUAUUAUAGACAUUAUUAUUAAAUAAACGAUUAUGAUUUUAGUAAUGGAAUAGGUAUAUUGAUUUAAAAAAAGUUGGAAUAAAUAUAAAGAGUAUUCAAAUUUACUAUCCGAUAGCUGUCUUUUUAAACGCAUCGCAUGGUAAAAAAAAUUGACAAUAAUUCGUUCUCAAUAUUACCAUGUAGCAUGGUAGUUUUAACUGAUGCUUCGAAUAUCGUCGGCAUGGUAAAAAAGACCACACAUCCCGUUUGAGAUGAAUGUGUAACGUA
This 863-nucleotide long non-coding RNA is filed under the name Aedes aegypti (yellow fever mosquito). RNAcentral's name for it is "lncRNA AAEL024596". Lineage: Eukaryota; Metazoa; Arthropoda; Insecta; Diptera; Culicidae. The record is from RNAcentral.